RNAcentral lists this ribosomal RNA (468 nucleotides) under uncultured bacterium. Its description in RNAcentral is "partial 16S ribosomal RNA". It matches the Rfam family "Bacterial small subunit ribosomal RNA", at positions 28 to 507 of the family's 1533-position model. The record is from RNAcentral.
GACGAACGCUGGCGGCGUGCUUAACACAUGCAAGUCGAACGGACAGGCCCUGCUUUUGUGGGGUGCUCGAGUGGCGAACGGGUGAGUAUCACGUGAGUAUCCUGCCCUUGACUUUGGGAUAACUUCAGGAAACUGGGGCUAAUACCCGAUAGGAUCUCCUGCUGCAUGGUGGGGGUUGGAAAGUUUCGGCGGUUGGGGAUGGACUCGCGGCUUAUCAGCUUGUUGGUGGGGUAGUGGCUUACGAAGGCUUUGACGGGUAGCCGGCCUGAGAGGGUGACCGGCCACAUUGGGACUGAGAGACGGCCCAGACUCCUACGGGAGGCAGCAGGGGGGAAUAUUGCACAAUGGGCGGAAGCCUGAUGCAGCAACGCCGCGUGCGGGAUGACGGCCUUCGGGUUGUAAACCGCUUUCGCAUGUGACGAAGCGUGAGUGACGGUAAUGGGUAAAGAAGCACCGGCUAACUACGUG